Molecule: long non-coding RNA, 387 nt
Organism: Apis dorsata (giant honeybee)
Lineage: Eukaryota; Metazoa; Arthropoda; Insecta; Hymenoptera; Apidae
Exons: 3
Source: RefSeq, a predicted model, not a curated record
GAAACUAUAUCAACGUUUGGAGAAUAUUCAAAUGUAUUUUUGGCAACAUUCGAGAAUUAUUUUCACGAACUUCUCGUUGUUAACUUGCUUUUUCGUUCGAGACGAACUGGAUAACUCGAUGAAAGAAUAAUCUUCCAAUGUAUUUAUAACUCCUUGUAAUUCCUCCCCUCAAUAUUGAGAAAGAAUCUCCAUGCCGAAUGUAAUGUAUAUUAACGUGCAGAUUUUAAAUAAGAGCACUUUAUUAACAUUAUUAACGUUUUUACUCAAAAGAGUAAUAAAAAAAAAUGAAAGUGAAAAAAAUCGGUGAGAUUCGAGUUUUCAACUUCGAUUCUUGCCACAAAAAAAAAAAGAAAAAAAUGAUUCAUUUAGAAUAUAUGUUUUUAAAUA